This is a non-coding RNA of Megalops cyprinoides (Indo-Pacific tarpon), 397 nucleotides long. RefSeq annotates it as small Cajal body-specific RNA 2. The record is from RefSeq and is a predicted model, not a curated record. NCBI's taxonomy places the organism in Eukaryota, Metazoa, Chordata, Actinopteri, Elopiformes, Megalopidae. The transcript has a single exon.
ACAAAAUAAAAGUCGAGGCGCCUGCGCCAUAAAGUUAGCUGCUGUGUGCCUGCUGUGAGAGGUAGGGUGAGUGCGUGCGUGGAUGCGUGAGUGAAUGUGAGGGUGGUAGUUGUUGUAUGUCGUGUGAAUGAUUGCUUAGGGAAAAAAAAAACUACACCGUGAUCUUAUUUGAUCAGGUCGGAGUCUGGCCUUGCUCCGAUUCUGAAAUGAUAAAACCCGACAUGCGAGCCUACUACCAGGCGAUGUGCAUGAGGCAUUUCACUAUCUUCAGGGCCGCCACAACACAUUUGUGGUUCAGAAGUGAUGAAUUGAUCAGAUAUACUAGUGCCGGUAAGACCAGAGGUUUACUUCUGUGUCUCUAUCCCGGUCGAUGAGUAUAGAGGCGAUUCUGAUCUGA